Molecule: long non-coding RNA, 654 nt
Organism: Dioscorea cayenensis subsp. rotundata (Guinea yam)
Lineage: Eukaryota; Viridiplantae; Streptophyta; Magnoliopsida; Dioscoreales; Dioscoreaceae
Exons: 2
Source: RefSeq, a predicted model, not a curated record
UUUGCUAUGGAUUGAAUUCCUUUUCUUUAAAUACAUGCUAGAUAAGCCCACAUCAAGCCAAUAAAUGAAGAUCCUGAUAGGAAUUGGCUUGUGAUUUUAUCUGAAAGGAUUCAGAAUCCUGAACACAAAGGGCUGAUUUAUUGGAUGAAAAACUGAUGCAAAGAGUUAGAGAAAUACAAGAUCUAAGAGAAAGGCUCAGAAGAAGGAACCAAGAAAGGAAAACAAAAGAACAAAAAUUAAAAGGAAAAUCCCUCUUCAGCAAAGCUCUUCAUAACCCAUCGAGGGAGGUCGCGUCCGGAGAGGAAGAGAUUGAAGUCGUGUAGAUUGGCUCCAAAGACAGCAAGGGUGAAGGCAAAGGUUAUCCAGCUUCUGGGAAUUUCAAUAAGUUUGGGAUUGCCCGCAUUAUCGACAAGAUGCUUGACGUUGGUAAUUGCAGGAGAGAGGCGCCAAGUAACUGGAUUGUUGUUAAGCUUUAGUACUUGGAAGAUCUCCUGGCAGCUCGUGAAAAUGUAGCGAAUGCUCAAGCGUUUGUCAGUGGCUACCCGUAAGGCAGCAUCCAAGGCUUGAAUCUCAGCAGCAGCACAUGACUCAACAGUGGAAACACAGCAGCCUGCAAUAGAUAUAUUAUAGAGUAGUUAACAUUUGAGAUAAAAA